RNAcentral lists this ribosomal RNA (1428 nucleotides) under Staphylococcus warneri. Its description in RNAcentral is "bacterial SSU rRNA". It matches the Rfam family "Bacterial small subunit ribosomal RNA". Lineage: Bacteria; Bacillati; Bacillota; Bacilli; Caryophanales; Staphylococcaceae. The record is from RNAcentral.
UAUUCUAGAGUUUGAUCAUGGCUCAGGAUGAACGCUGGCGGCGUGCCUAAUACAUGCAAGUCGAGCGAACAGAUAAGGAGCUUGCUCCUUUGACGUUAGCGGCGGACGGGUGAGUAACACGUGGAUAACCUACCUAUAAGACUGGGAUAACUUCGGGAAACCGGAGCUAAUACCGGAUAACAUAUUGAACCGCAUGGUUCAAUAGUGAAAGGCGGCUUUGCUGUCACUUAUAGAUGGAUCCGCGCCGUAUUAGCUAGUUGGUAAGGUAACGGCUUACCAAGGCAACGAUACGUAGCCGACCUGAGAGGGUGAUCGGCCACACUGGAACUGAGACACGGUCCAGACUCCUACGGGAGGCAGCAGUAGGGAAUCUUCCGCAAUGGGCGAAAGCCUGACGGAGCAACGCCGCGUGAGUGAUGAAGGUCUUCGGAUCGUAAAACUCUGUUAUCAGGGAAGAACAAAUGUGUAAGUAACUGUGCACAUCUUGACGGUACCUGAUCAGAAAGCCACGGCUAACUACGUGCCAGCAGCCGCGGUAAUACGUAGGUGGCAAGCGUUAUCCGGAAUUAUUGGGCGUAAAGCGCGCGUAGGCGGUUUUUUAAGUCUGAUGUGAAAGCCCACGGCUCAACCGUGGAGGGUCAUUGGAAACUGGAAAACUUGAGUGCAGAAGAGGAAAGUGGAAUUCCAUGUGUAGCGGUGAAAUGCGCAGAGAUAUGGAGGAACACCAGUGGCGAAGGCGACUUUCUGGUCUGUAACUGACGCUGAUGUGCGAAAGCGUGGGGAUCAAACAGGAUUAGAUACCCUGGUAGUCCACGCCGUAAACGAUGAGUGCUAAGUGUUAGGGGUUUCCGCCCCUUAGUGCUGCAGCUAACGCAUUAAGCACUCCGCCUGGNGAGUACGACCGCAAGGUUGAAACUCAAAGGAAUUGACGGGGACCCGCACAAGCGGUGGAGCAUGUGGUUUAAUUCGAAGCAACGCGAAGAACCUUACCAAAUCUUGACAUCCUUUGACUGCUCUAGAGAUAGAGUCUUCCCCUUCGGGGGACAAAGUGACAGGUGGUGCAUGGUUGUCGUCAGCUCGUGUCGUGAGAUGUUGGGUUAAGUCCCGCAACGAGCGCAACCCUUAAGCUUAGUUGCCAUCAUUAAGUUGGGCACUCUAAGUUGACUGCCGGUGACAAACCGGAGGAAGGUGGGGAUGACGUCAAAUCAUCAUGCCCCUUAUGAUUUGGGCUACACACGUGCUACAAUGGACAAUACAAAGGGCAGCUAAACCGCGAGGUCAAGCAAAUCCCAUAAAGUUGUUCUCAGUUCGGAUUGUAGUCUGCAACUCGACUACAUGAAGCUGGAAUCGCUAGUAAUCGUAGAUCAGCAUGCUACGGUGAAUACGUUCCCGGGUCUUGUACACACCGCCCGUCACACACGGUACCAU